Molecule: ribosomal RNA, 284 nt
Filed under: Nitzschia ovalis
Lineage: Eukaryota; Bacillariophyta; Bacillariophyceae; Bacillariales; Bacillariaceae
Description: partial 18S ribosomal RNA
Rfam family: Eukaryotic small subunit ribosomal RNA
Source: RNAcentral
CGUAUAUUAAAGUUGUUGCAGUUAAAAAGCUCGUAGUUGGAUUUGUGGUUCGUCCCGCCGGCUGGGUCUUUGACUUUUGCUGUGCUGGUCGUCCAUCCUUGGGUGGAAUCUGUGUGGCAUUAGGUUGUCGCGCAGGGGAUGCCCAUCGUUUACUGUGAAAAAAUUAGAGUGUUCAAAGCAGGCUUAUGCCGUUGAAUAUAUUAGCAUGGAAUAAUGAUAUAGGACCUUGGUACUAUUUUGUUGGUUUGCGCACUGAGGUAAUGAUUAAUAGGGACAGUUGGGGG